Molecule: ribosomal RNA, 254 nt
Filed under: uncultured bacterium
Lineage: Bacteria
Description: partial 16S ribosomal RNA
Rfam family: Bacterial small subunit ribosomal RNA
Source: RNAcentral
GACGAACCGUGCGAACGUUAUUCGGAAUCACUGGGCUUAAAGCGCGUGUAGGCGGGCGGGUACGUCGGCGACUGAAAGCCCCCGGCUCAACUGGGGAGGGUCACGCGAUACUGAUCGACUCGAAGGCAGGAGAGGGAAGUGGAAUUCCCGGUGUAGUGGUGAAAUGCGUAGAUAUCGGGAGGAACACCAGUGGCGAAGGCGACUUCCUGGCCUGUUCUUGACGCUGAGGCGCGAAAGCUAGGGGAGCAAACGGG